AGAGUUUGAUCCUGGCUCAGGAUGAACGCUAGCUACAGGCUUAACACAUGCAAGUCGAGGGGAAACGAUAUUGGAAGCUUGCUUUCCGAUAGGCGUCGACCGGCGCACGGGUGAGUAACGCGUAUCCAACCUGCCCACCACUUGGGGAUAACCUUGCGAAAGUAAGACUAAUACCCAAUGACGUCUCUAGAAGACAUCUGAAAGAGAUUAAAGAUUUAUCGGUGAUGGAUGGGGAUGCGUCUGAUUAGCUUGUUGGCGGGGUAACGCCACCAAGGCUACGAUCAGUAGGGGUUCUGAGAGGAGGUCCCCCANAUUGGAACUGAGACACGGUCCAAACUCCGUACGGGAGCA
This 351-nucleotide ribosomal RNA is filed under the name uncultured bacterium. RNAcentral's name for it is "bacterial SSU rRNA". It matches the Rfam family "Bacterial small subunit ribosomal RNA", at positions 8 to 349 of the family's 1533-position model. The record is from RNAcentral.